Molecule: non-coding RNA, 24 nt
Filed under: Arabidopsis thaliana (thale cress)
Lineage: Eukaryota; Viridiplantae; Streptophyta; Magnoliopsida; Brassicales; Brassicaceae
Source: RNAcentral
ACCCAACGGUCAUGUCCACUUGGA